RNAcentral lists this microRNA precursor (70 nucleotides) under Tetraodon nigroviridis (spotted green pufferfish). RNAcentral's name for it is "miRNA (ENSTNIG00000020244.1)". The record is from RNAcentral. Lineage: Eukaryota; Metazoa; Chordata; Actinopteri; Tetraodontiformes; Tetraodontidae.
CGUGUGUGUGUGUGUGUGUGUGUGUGUGUGUGUGCUGCAAGGCAGGUAUCUUAGCAGACAGACAGACGAC